RNAcentral lists this ribosomal RNA (261 nucleotides) under uncultured bacterium. RNAcentral's name for it is "partial 16S ribosomal RNA". It matches the Rfam family "Bacterial small subunit ribosomal RNA", at positions 524 to 782 of the family's 1533-position model. The record is from RNAcentral.
UACGGAGGGUGCGAGCGUUGUCCGGAAUCACUGGGCGUAAAGGGCGCGUAGGCGGCGCGGAUAGUCGGCGGUGAAAGCCCGGAGCUCAACUCCGGGUCGGCCGUCGAUACUUCCGGGCUUGAGCACUGUAGAGGCAGAUGGAAUUCCGGGUGUAGCGGUGGAAUGCGUAGAGAUCCGGAAGAACACCGGUGGCGAAGGCGGUCUGCUGGGCAGUUGCUGACGCUGAUGCGCGACAGCGGUGGGGAGCAAACGAGGAUUAGA